This 308-nucleotide ribosomal RNA is filed under the name uncultured bacterium. RNAcentral's name for it is "bacterial SSU rRNA". It matches the Rfam family "Bacterial small subunit ribosomal RNA", at positions 28 to 349 of the family's 1533-position model. The record is from RNAcentral.
GACAAACGCUGGCGGCGUACCUAAGACAUGCAAGUCGAACGGGUACGGACCCUUCGGGGUGGCGUGCUAGUGGCGGACGGGUGAGUAACGCGUAGGAACCUAUCGCACAGUGGGGGAUACCACGGGAAACCGGUGUUAAUACCGCAUGUGGUCAGCAAUGACGAAAGCAGCAAUGCGCUGUGUGCGGGGCCUGCGUCCGAUUAGCUCGUUGGUGGGGUAAGGGCCUACCAAGGCGACGAUCGGAGCUGGUCUGAGAGGAUGGUCAGCCACACUGGGACUGAGACACGGCCCAGACUCCUACGGGAGGC